AUUGAACGCUGGCGGCAUGCUUUACACAUGCAAGUCGAACGGCAGCGCGGGCUUCGGCCUGGCGGCGCGUGGCGAACGGGUGAGUAAUACAUCGGAACGUGCCCAGUUGUGGGGGAUAGCUCGGCGAAAGCCGGAUUACUACCGCAUACGACCUGCGGGUGAAAGCGGGGGAUCUUUGGACCUUGCGGUCUUGGAGCGGCCGAGUGCCGGUUAGCUAGUUGGUGGGGUAAAGGCCUACUAAGGCGACGAUCUGUAGCUGGUCUGAGGGGACGACUGGCCACACUGGGACGUGGACACGGCCCAGACUCCUACGGGAGGCAGCAGUGGGGAAUUUUGGACAAUGGGCGAAAGCCUGGUCCAGCAAUGCCGCGUGUGUGAUGAAGGCCUUCGGGUUGUAAAGCACUUUUGGCGGGAACGAAAAGGACUGUGCCAAUACCACGGUUCGAUGACGGUACCCGCAGAAUAAGCACCGGCUAACUACGUG
RNAcentral lists this ribosomal RNA (484 nucleotides) under uncultured bacterium. Its description in RNAcentral is "partial 16S ribosomal RNA". It matches the Rfam family "Bacterial small subunit ribosomal RNA", at positions 28 to 507 of the family's 1533-position model. The record is from RNAcentral.